Molecule: long non-coding RNA, 418 nt
Organism: Odocoileus virginianus texanus
Lineage: Eukaryota; Metazoa; Chordata; Mammalia; Artiodactyla; Cervidae
Source: RefSeq, a predicted model, not a curated record
CUUCAAGAGAAUGAGGUAGAGAUCAUGUGAUGAGAACAGUUUCAUCUUGUCAAAGUCAAGUCCGUGGGUCCACCAGCUUCUAUCCCAAGUGACAACUUUAGUUCCAGAGGCAACUUGGAGGAUCUCUGCUGGUCACCACAGGCUUCACUCACUCCAAGAAUAAUAUUACCUACAAUCACAACAACCAUGACAAUGAGGAGGAGGAGACUUGGACACACUCACAUGUCACUGAACACUAGGGGUGGAAAUUUUACUGAAGCACUAUCAUCUGAAUUUCUGACAAAGCACAUACCUGGUAUUUAAUAGAACAUAAAACAUUCAAACAGAGCCUUUCAAACCAAGAAAUGCAAAACAGAAGUCUUGGAAGCAACUGCAGACAUGACUUUUAAAAAUAACUUUUUUUCUUCUUUUAACCAAA